AUAAAUGCACACUUGUAGAUGACUGGAUAAAGAAGGAUGUCCAGAGAUGUCAGAUAUGUCCUGAAAAGAAUUCUUCAACGUGUCCACCAGGAAACAUAGACAAGAACAUUCACAACAGUGUUGUCUGUAAACUAAAAAUCUGUAAACAAACCAAAUGUCUGCCUCCCACAGCUUGGACCAAUAACUCAGGUUAUAUUUCUGUAAUGGAAAGUAUAGACCAAUAAGACCGGAUUAGCUGCAUGUGCAUGCGUGCCAUGGAGAGAUCUCAAAAAAUACUGUGAGCAAAAGAAACACACCGAAGAAGUAAA
Erinaceus europaeus (western European hedgehog) is the source of this 308-nucleotide long non-coding RNA. RefSeq lists it as uncharacterized. NCBI's taxonomy places the organism in Eukaryota, Metazoa, Chordata, Mammalia, Eulipotyphla, Erinaceidae. The record is from RefSeq and is a predicted model, not a curated record. The transcript is spliced from 2 exons.